GCAAAUUUUAUGAAAUUUGGUAGGUUAGUCACUUCACAUUUUUUACUUGGUGUGCUUUCUGUUACUCUCUUUUGUAAUUUAGAUGUCUUUUUAUUAUUGCCACUGAGAGGAAUUUCUGUAUUCUCUUCGACUUAUUUGGGUCGACUUCUUGUCAUAUGCUUUUGUAUCUCUUUUCUCUUGUCAUUCUCGACCAAAUAUAAUACGACCAUCCCGG
RNAcentral lists this unclassified non-coding RNA (214 nucleotides) under Hevea brasiliensis (rubber tree). Lineage: Eukaryota; Viridiplantae; Streptophyta; Magnoliopsida; Malpighiales; Euphorbiaceae. The record is from RNAcentral.